RNAcentral lists this ribosomal RNA (440 nucleotides) under uncultured bacterium. RNAcentral's name for it is "partial 16S ribosomal RNA". It matches the Rfam family "Bacterial small subunit ribosomal RNA", at positions 338 to 795 of the family's 1533-position model. The record is from RNAcentral.
CCUACGGGUGGCUGCAGUAGGGAAUAUUGCUCAAUGGGGGAAACCCUGAAGCAGCAACGCCGCGUGGAGGAUGACGGUUUUAGGAUUGUAAACUCCUUUUGUGAGAGAAGAUAUUGACGGUAUCACACGAAUAAGCACCGGCUAACUCCGUGCCAGCAGCCGCGGUAAUAUGGAGGGUGCCAGCGUUACUCGGAAUCACUGGGCGUUAAGGGUGCGUAGGCGGGUUUUUAAGUCAGAUGUGAAAUCCUGUAGGUUAACCACAGAACUGCAUUUGAAACUAUAGGUCUAGAGUGUAGGAGAGGUAGGUGGAAUUCGUGGUGUAGGGGUAAAAUGCAUAGAUAUCAAGAGGAAUACUCAUAGCGAAGGCGACCUACUGGAACAUUACUGACGCUCAUGCACGAGAGCGUGGGUAGCAAACAGGAUUAGAUACCCGGGUAGUC